GAUGAACGCUGGCGGCGUGCCUAAUACAUGCAAGUCGAACGAACGGACGCGAACCUUGCUUCUCUGAUGUUAUCGGUGGACGGCUGAGUAACACGUGGAUAAUCAACCUAUACGACUUGGAUAACUACGGGAUACCGUAGCUAAUACCGCAUAAUAUUUUGACUCGCAUGCUUCAAAAGUGUAAGACGGUCUUGCUUUCACUUAUAGAUGGAUCCGCGCUGCAUUAGCUAGUUGGUAAGGUAACGGCUUACCAAGGCAACGAUGCAUAGCCGACCUGAGAGGGUGAUCGGCCACACUGGAACUGAGACACGGCCCAGACUCCUACGGGAGGCAGCAGUAGGGAAUCUUCCGCAAUGGGCGAAAGCCUGACGGAGCAACGCCGCGUGAGUGAUGAAGGUCUUCGGAUCGUAAAACUCUGUUAUUAGGGAAGAACAUGUGUGUAAGUAACUGUGCACAUCUUGACGGUACCUAAUCAGAAAGCCACGGCUAACUACGUG
RNAcentral lists this ribosomal RNA (497 nucleotides) under uncultured bacterium. RNAcentral describes it as "partial 16S ribosomal RNA". It matches the Rfam family "Bacterial small subunit ribosomal RNA", at positions 28 to 507 of the family's 1533-position model. The record is from RNAcentral.